GAUGAACGCUGGCGGCGUGCCUAAUACAUGCAAGUCGAGCGAACAGAUGAGGAGCUUGCUCCUCUGACGUUAGCGGCGGACGGGUGAGUAACACGUGGAUAACCUACCUAUAAGACUGGGAUAACUUCGGGAAACCGGAGCUAAUACCGGAUAAUAUAUUGAACCGCAUGGUUCAAUAGUGAAAGACGGCUUUGCUGUCACUUAUAGAUGGAUCCGCGCCGCAUUAGCUAGUUGGUAAGGUAACGGCUUACCAAGGCAACGAUGCGUAGCUGACCUGAGAGGAUGAUCAGCCACACUGGAACUGAGACACGGUCCAGACUCCUACGGGAGGCAGCAGUAGGGAAUCUUCCGCAAUGGGCGAAAGCCUGACGGAGCAAUGCCGCGUGAGUGAAGAAGGUCUUCGGAUCGUAAAACUCUUUUAUUAGGGAAGAACAAAAGUGUAAGUAACUAUGCACGUCUUGACGGUACCUAAACAGUAAGCCACGGCUAACUUCGUG
This 497-nucleotide ribosomal RNA is filed under the name uncultured bacterium. RNAcentral's name for it is "partial 16S ribosomal RNA". It matches the Rfam family "Bacterial small subunit ribosomal RNA", at positions 28 to 507 of the family's 1533-position model. The record is from RNAcentral.